Molecule: long non-coding RNA, 1306 nt
Organism: Pyrus x bretschneideri (Chinese white pear)
Lineage: Eukaryota; Viridiplantae; Streptophyta; Magnoliopsida; Rosales; Rosaceae
Exons: 6
Source: RefSeq, a predicted model, not a curated record
GUCUUCAUUUCUUUAUAGCAGCUUCUCUGCCUUUCCUCUUCAGAAAUUUCCAAGCGCCUCCACCCGUGCAUACCCGAGCCCAAUUCCACCGUUUUUUGGUUUCUGCUAAUAACCCUAGGUGUUUCUUCACUUCUUCUCCUCUGUCUAUGUUCCUCCUCGUGCCUCCCUCUCCCUCACUCUCAGUUAGUCAUCAUCAUUCACACCACUCUCUCUUGCAGCCUUGCAAACCCUCACAGGUUGCAGCCUUGCAUCCUCGCAGCCUCGCAACCUCGUCGUCAAGCACUUGUCCACCUCGUUGUCUCGACAGCCAUCACAAAGGUUUCCUACAAGUGGCUGAAUUGAAAUUACUUGGUGUCUUUGAAUGCUGCAAAGAGGUUACUCCAGGAGUUUGUUGAAAAUCAUGAAAAUUGGUUCAAAGUGGUGUAUGUUUUGGCUGGCUGGUUGAAGAGCGAUCCUUUAAGCUACCAUAUAAGGCUUGUUUCUGGGCCUAAAUUUGCAGGACAAUGUUGCAAUUAUUGUUAUAUUAGAAAUGGUGGAAAAUGAAGGCUCCUCUGAUGGCAAUCAACCUACAAUUUGUGUGGUACUAUGUCUAUUUCAAAUUCUACAGCCUUACAUCCUAAAUUCUCGAGUGCUGACUGCUGACACAGUUGUCCCUUUCGGCCACAGUCAAAUACCCAUUUACAUGCAAAUGUAAAAAUCCAGACAUAAAAUUGUUGCAGGUUGAACCCUCAUCCAUGCACUUGAGAAAAUUCCAAGUUGAAGAUUCCCUUACUGAUUUGAACUCUAUGCCUCAGAGUGAUCCUUAUACAUUCAUAAGCAAUGGCAGAGUUGAGAUUCUUCCCAGCAAGGAAACUGAUAAAUCGGGCAUGUUGCAGACAGUCAAGCUUUCUCAUUCAUUGAAUCUGAUAAGGCUAAUGUAUCCCUACUGAUUGAUUCUCUGCACCUUUUUUUUUUUUUUGUUUUUUUAAUUCUUAACUCCUCCUAAACAUUUUGCAUUGCUACUUAGUUGCUUACUUCUUGCAAGGAUUUGAAAUCUGGAGAGCUUUUGAUUUUUGUGAUCAUUUUCAAGUGCUGAAAAUUUUCUUUGUUUCCUUUGCAGGUAAGUGCAUAUGCAACUUUUUUUCAGUCCCAUGGGGUCGAGGAUCAUGAACGUGAGAAGAUGAAUCUUGAAACCAAGGAGCCUUUGUUCACCAACUUUACACCAUUUUUCUUUGGAAACUAUUUGUUGUAGUUUUUUCUUUUUUGUUCGGGUAUCUUGUAUGUACAUUUUCAUAUAUUUUAUAAUUAAAUACAUUUUCUUGGUUUA